Molecule: long non-coding RNA, 1368 nt
Filed under: Junco hyemalis (dark-eyed junco)
Lineage: Eukaryota; Metazoa; Chordata; Aves; Passeriformes; Passerellidae
Description: lncRNA (ENSJHYG00000017120.1)
Source: RNAcentral
AGUGAUUCAUCACUAACAAGCUGUGGUAUGAGGUGAAUGAAACUGUGACCUUCGCCUGCAUUUAGGGGUGCUUCCAAAAUCUCCUGCUCAGCUGUGGCCCCUGGGAUAGAGCAGAGGGCUUGGGGUGCAGCAUUGCCUGGCUCUGUCUGUCCUUGGGGCUUCCUGAGUCCUUCUCCUCUUUGCAGAAGAAACAACCUUCCCAAAGCUGGUGUUUUCCAGGUAAUAGUUGAGGUUUUAUUGACAGCUGUGUGUAAAGGAGGUCUAAGACAGGUCAGGAGCUCACUGACUUUCCCUUCCCUUGUUGCCAAAUGUCCACCCCCACCAUGGGGAUGCCUGGAUUGAGACACUGCCAGAAACAGCAAAUCCAUGAGGAAUUCACAGCCCCUCGCAGGGGCUGCUCUGACCUUCACCCUCUUCUUGAAAAGAAGUAUUUUUGAUUUCACAGCUCCACAAUUUUAAGUUCCUCUGCACUUCCCAAACUCCUUUCUGACCUCUGGCUGAGCUGCCUUCUACCCUGGGUUUUCCUUUCAGUCCUGUGUCCAGAACCACGAGUGCCCUUUGCAAUGGUGAAAAGCCCUUUGAGUGAGCAAAGGUGGUACCAGACCAACGAGUCUGUCACCUUGGAGUGCCUUCCUGGCUACCAGUUCCCAGACAAUGGAAUGAUGGAAAAUGCCUGGACAGCCAAGUGCUUGCCUGAUGGCAGCUGGACACCACUGCCCAAGUGUAUGAAAGAAGGUGAUGCUGAUGUGUGUCAAGAGGUUCAUUACAUUAAAUCGACCUUUGAAUGUGGUGUGCCUGUGGAAAAAGUGAAAAGUCUGCUGGAAAUCCAGAAACUGUUCCUGGAGAUUAAAAAAUUACAGAUGGAGCUAGAGAACUGAAAAGAAACUGGGCCCCUGUAAUGCUCACCGUUCCUUUGGUGAACUCACCAAAGUUUGUGCAGUCCCAGCAUCUCUAAAAAGGUUCUGGGUGAUUUCGAGGUUUAUGUUUGCAUGCCUGGAGCCAGAAAAAUAAUCAGCAGUGCACAGGAGGCUGCUUUUGCUGUGCUGGAUGCCAGAGCAGGGAGUGGGUUUUGCUCUAACCUACAAGCUUGAUUUGCUCUUUAACUAAUAAGUUGUUUCAUGUUUCAUAUUAGGAAGAAUAGAAAGAAAUUAAAUUUAGCUUUAUAAAAUCACUGUCUUAACUGUGGUAAGCUGACGCAAAAGGGAGUGAUGUCCAGAAAAGCUGAGAUGAGUCCAGAGGUGACUCUGAAGGUUCUGCUGCUGCCAUGGUUUGGGUACAUUUGGGUUCAUGGUUUCUGCUGCUGAGGUUUGGGUACAUUUGCACCCUGCUGGAAACAGUGGUGGCAAUAAGUGUUAAACCUGCUUUCUG